CCUUACAAAAAAUCUAGUGAAAGUUUUAUUUUCUCCUGUCCUUGGCUCAGCUGGAUUCCUUUUGCACCUUCUCCUUAUUGAAAAUCCAGAAUGCUUUGUGGAAACGGAGAGAGAAAUGAAAGAAAAGAAGAACACCAAAAUUUGCAAACUGGAACAUUAUGAGCCCAAUACUCAGGCACAGAUGCCAGGGGCCCAAGACACCUGCAGAAGAUAUCUUUGCCCUAUUGAACAACUUAUGUUUCAAAGGCUUCCAUCUAGCUUCCAUCUAGAUUAUCACCACAAACAAGAAAGUUGGAGACAACCAGGCACAGCCUGAAGGUGGUAAUAAACACAUCACCAGUUUGGAGUCACUAUGCUCUCAAGAGAGACCCAAGUCAAGCCCCGUUGACUUCUAUCUAGCACAAUUUGCCUUGACUGCUAAAGGAUCAGAUUCUUGUGUAGCAUGUAAUAAACUUGAAGCGCUUUG
Pantherophis guttatus is the source of this 466-nucleotide long non-coding RNA. RefSeq lists it as uncharacterized. The record is from RefSeq and is a predicted model, not a curated record. Lineage: Eukaryota; Metazoa; Chordata; Lepidosauria; Squamata; Colubridae.